AACGAACGCUGGCGGCAUGCCUAACACAUGCAAGUCGAACGAGAUCUUCGGGUCUAGUGGCGCACGGGUGCGUAACGCGUGGGAAUCUGCCCUUUGGUUCGGAAUAACAGUUGGAAACGACUGCUAAUACCGGAUGAUGACGAAAGUCCAAAGAUUUAUCGCCAGAGGAUGAGCCCGGGUAGGAUUAGGUAGUUGGUGUGGUAAAGGCGCACCAAGGCGACGAUCCUUAGCUGGUGUGAGAGGAUGAUCAGCCAAACUGGGACUGAGACACGGCCCAGACUACUACGGGAGGCAGCAGUGGGGAAUAUUGGACAAUGGGCGAAGGCCUGAUCCAGCAAUGCCGCGUGAGUGAUGAAGGCCUUAGGGUUGUAAAGCUCUUUUACCCGGGAUGAUAAUGACAGUACCGGGAGAAUAAGCUCCGGCUAACUCCGUGCCAGCAGCCGCCGUAA
Molecule: ribosomal RNA, 449 nt
Filed under: uncultured bacterium
Lineage: Bacteria
Description: partial 16S ribosomal RNA
Rfam family: Bacterial small subunit ribosomal RNA
Source: RNAcentral